AGUGAACGCUGGCGGUAGGCCUAACACAUGCAAGUCGAACGGCAGCACAGUAAGAGCUUGCUCUUACGGGUGGCGAGUGGCGGACGGGUGAGGAAUACAUCGGAAUCUACUUUUUCGUGGGGGAUAACGUAGGGAAACUUACGCUAAUACCGCAUACGACCUACGGGUGAAAGCAGGGGAUCUUCGGACCUUGCGCGAUUGAAUGAGCCGAUGUCGGAUUAGCUAGUUGGCGGGGUAAAGGCCCACCAAGGCGACGAUCCGUAGCUGGUCUGAGAGGAUGAUCAGCCACACUGGAACUGAGACACGGUCCAGACUCCGACGGGAGGCAGCAGUGGGGAAUAUUGGACAAUGGCGCAAGCCUGAUCCAGCCAUACCGCGUGGGUGAAGAAGGCCUUCGGGUUGUAAAGCCCUUUUGUUGGGAAAGAAAAGCAGCAGGUUAAUACCCCGCUGUUCUGACGGUACCCAAAGAAUAAGCACCGGCUAACUUCGUG
This 491-nucleotide ribosomal RNA is filed under the name uncultured bacterium. RNAcentral describes it as "partial 16S ribosomal RNA". It matches the Rfam family "Bacterial small subunit ribosomal RNA", at positions 29 to 507 of the family's 1533-position model. The record is from RNAcentral.